Molecule: unclassified non-coding RNA, 352 nt
Filed under: soil metagenome
Description: partial contains 5.8S ribosomal RNA, internal transcribed spacer 2, and large subunit ribosomal RNA
Rfam family: 5.8S ribosomal RNA (bases 1-120)
Source: RNAcentral
GAUGAAGAACGCAGCGAAAUGCGAUAAGUAAUGUGAAUUGCAGAAUUCAGUGAAUCAUCGAAUCUUUGAACGCACAUUGCGCCCGCCAGUAUUCUGGCGGGCAUGCCUGUUCGAGCGUCAUUACAACCCUCAGGCCCCCGGGCCUGGCGUUGGGGAUCGGCGGAAGCCCCCUGCGGGCACAACGCCGUCCCCCAAAUACAGUGGCGGUCCCGCCGCAGCUUCCAUUGCGUAGUAGCUAACACCUCGCAACUGGAGAGCGGCGCGGCCACGCCGUAAAACACCCAACUUCUGAAUGUUGACCUCGAAUCAGGUAGGAAUACCCGCUGAACUUAAGAAUAUCAAUAAGCGGAGG